Molecule: RNA transcript, 2454 nt
Organism: Balaenoptera ricei (Rice's whale)
Lineage: Eukaryota; Metazoa; Chordata; Mammalia; Artiodactyla; Balaenopteridae
Gene: RORA
Gene name: RAR related orphan receptor A
Exons: 13
Source: RefSeq, a predicted model, not a curated record
UUGGGAAAAAACAUGGAGUCAGCUCCGGCAGCCCCCGACCCCGCCGCCUGCGAGCCGGGCAGCAGCGGCGCGGACGCGGCCGCCGGCUCCAGGGAGACCCCGCUGAACCAGGAAUCCGCCCGCAAGAGCGAGCCGCCCGCCCCGGUGCGCAGACAGAGCUAUUCCAGCACCAGCAGAGUGGCCUGUGGAUAUGGCAUGUCCUGUUUUAUAAGAGAGAAGUUCAGGGCAUUGAAGUGGCAUGGCCAAGGUCACACAAAAAGUAUCUCAGUAACAAAGAAGACACAUACAUCUCAAAUUGAAAUUAUUCCAUGCAAGAUCUGUGGAGACAAAUCAUCAGGAAUCCAUUACGGUGUCAUUACAUGUGAAGGCUGCAAGGGCUUUUUCAGGAGAAGUCAGCAAAGCAAUGCCACCUACUCCUGUCCUCGUCAGAAGAACUGUUUGAUUGAUCGAACCAGUAGAAACCGCUGCCAACACUGUCGAUUACAGAAAUGCCUUGCCGUGGGGAUGUCUCGAGAUGCUGUAAAAUUUGGCCGCAUGUCGAAAAAGCAACGAGACAGCUUGUACGCAGAAGUACAGAAACACCGGAUGCAGCAGCAGCAGCGAGACCACCAACAGCAGCCUGGAGAGGCCGAGCCGCUGACUCCCACCUACAGCAUCUCGGCCAACGGGCUCACGGAGCUUCACGACGACCUCAGCAGCUACAUCGACGGGCACACCCCCGAGGGCAGCAAGGCAGACUCUGCCGUCAGCAGCUUCUACCUGGACAUACAGCCUUCCCCGGACCAGUCGGGUCUUGAUAUCAACGGAAUCAAACCAGAACCAAUAUGUGACUACACACCAGCAUCAGGCUUCUUUCCCUACUGCUCUUUCACCAAUGGAGAGACGUCCCCAACUGUGUCCAUGGCAGAACUAGAACACCUUGCACAGAAUAUAUCUAAGUCACAUCUGGAAACUUGCCAAUACUUGAGAGAAGAGCUCCAGCAGAUAACGUGGCAGACCUUUCUGCAGGAGGAGAUUGAGAAUUACCAAAACAAGCAGCGGGAGGUAAUGUGGCAAUUGUGUGCCAUCAAAAUUACAGAAGCUAUACAGUAUGUGGUGGAGUUUGCCAAACGCAUUGAUGGAUUUAUGGAACUGUGUCAAAACGAUCAAAUUGUGCUUCUCAAAGCAGGUUCUCUGGAGGUGGUAUUUAUCAGAAUGUGCCGUGCCUUUGACUCUCAGAACAAUACCGUGUACUUUGAUGGGAAAUAUGCUAGCCCCGACGUCUUCAAAUCCUUAGGUUGUGAAGACUUUAUUAGCUUUGUAUUUGAAUUUGGAAAGAGUUUAUGUUCUAUGCACCUGACUGAAGAUGAAAUUGCAUUGUUUUCUGCAUUUGUCCUGAUGUCAGCAGAUCGCUCAUGGCUGCAGGAAAAGGUAAAAAUUGAAAAGCUGCAACAGAAAAUUCAGCUAGCUCUUCAACACGUCCUACAGAAGAAUCACCGAGAAGAUGGAAUACUAACAAAGUUAAUAUGCAAGGUGUCUACAUUAAGAGCCUUAUGUGGACGACAUACAGAAAAGCUAAUGGCGUUUAAAGCAAUAUACCCAGACAUUGUGCGACUUCAUUUUCCUCCAUUAUACAAGGAAUUGUUCACUUCAGAAUUUGAGCCAGCAAUGCAGAUUGAUGGGUAAAUGUAUCACCUAAGCACUUCUAGAAUGUCUGAAGUCCAAACAAUGAAAAACAAACAAACAAACAAACAAAUUAACUGAGACACUUUAUAUGGCCCUGCACAGACCUGGAGCGCCAACACACCGCACAUCCUUUGGUGAUCGGGGUCAGGCAAAGGAGGGGAAACAAUGAAAACAAAUAAAAGUUGAACUUGUUUUUCUCAUGCAUAUGAUUUCCAUUAUGCCUACAGAUAUGGACCCUUUUUCUGUCUCGACUUCUUGAUCAUUGACCUCUGUUUACAACAGAAGGCGGGUACUAAGGUCAGAGGAUGUCCUUUUUUUUGUAGCUCACUGCCCACAGACUUUCUACAUCUGUCGGUAACAACAGAGAGUCCAGCACUAAUCGGUGACUGGUGUGCAUAGCGGAGGUUGCGGCAUUACUUUGCACAACUUGCUGUUUGUCUCAUGAAGGAAGUUUUUAUUUUUUCACCGAUUAUUGCCAGUCAGCAGGAUGGCACGAAAAGGGUCCAUAGCACUAGCAACAAUAGCAUUAUAAUAUAUUACAGGGUAAAUGGGCAUGAAGACUAUAUAUAGCUAAAAGAGAUAUUGUUUAUAUAUUGUUUUAAUUAAUAUAAAAUGUAGUUACUGGUGUAGCUUUUCCUGUUGAAUUGAUAAGGCACUUUCAUUUUGCACCUUUUUUCUUUAAAUUAAAUGCUAGCGUGUUCACUGUCGUGUCGCAUGUGCACCAGAAACACAAGUUUAACUGAGAAGGCUUGGAAGGGGACAAAACACAUAUACAAGGAUCAAGCUGCC